AGUGAACGCUGGCGGUAGGCCUAACACAUGCAAGUCGAACGGCAGCACAGUAAGAGCUUGCUCUUACGGGUGGCGAGUGGCGGACGGGUGAGGAAUACAUCGGAAUCUACUUUUUCGUGGGGGAUAACGUAGGGAAACUUACGCUAAUACCGCAUACGACCUACGGGUGAAAGCAGGGGAUCUUCGGACCUUGCGCGAUCGAAUGAGCCGAUGUCGGAUUAGCUAGUUGGCGGGGUAAAGGCCCACCAAGGCGACGAUCCGUAGCUGGUCUGAGAGGAUGAUCAGCCACACUGGAACUGAGGCACGGUCCAGACUCCUACGGGAGGCAGCAGUGGGGAAUAUUGGACAAUGGGCGCAAGCCUGAUCCAGCCAUACCGCGUGGGUGAAGAAGGCCUUCGGGUUGUAAAGCCCUUUUGUUGGGAAAGAAAAGCAGCAGGUUAAUACCCCGCUGUUCUGACGGUACCCAAAGAAUAAGCACCGGCUAACUUCGUG
This 492-nucleotide ribosomal RNA is filed under the name uncultured bacterium. Its description in RNAcentral is "partial 16S ribosomal RNA". It matches the Rfam family "Bacterial small subunit ribosomal RNA", at positions 29 to 507 of the family's 1533-position model. The record is from RNAcentral.